RNAcentral lists this ribosomal RNA (567 nucleotides) under uncultured freshwater bacterium. RNAcentral describes it as "bacterial SSU rRNA". It matches the Rfam family "Bacterial small subunit ribosomal RNA", at positions 8 to 607 of the family's 1533-position model. The record is from RNAcentral.
AGAGUUUGAUCCUGGCUCAGAAUGAACGUUGGCGGCGUGGAUUAGGCAUGCGAGUCGCGCGAUAAUGUAGCAAUACAGGACAGCGGCGAAAGGGAGAGGACAACAUAGGAAUCUGCCCUGGGGUCGGGGAUAGCGUCGGGAAACUGACGGUAAUACCCGAUAAUAUCCAAGGAUCAAAGGAGCAAUUUGCCCCGGGAUGAGCCUAUGCCCCAUUAUCUAGUUGGCGGUGUAAUGGACCACCAAGGCUGUGAUGGGUAGCUGGUGUGAGAGCACGACCAGCCUCACUGGCACUGAGACACUGGCCAGACACCUACGGGUGGCUGCAGUCUGAGAAUCUUCGGCAAUGGACGAAAGUCUGACCGAGCGACGCCGCGUGUGGGAUGAAGGUCUUCGGAUUGUAAACCACUGUCGAGGGGGAUUAAGGGAAACUUGAAAGAACCCUGGAGGAAGGGGAGGCUAAGCUCGUGCCAGCAGCCGCGGUAAGACGAGCUCCCCAAACGUUAUUCGGUAUUACUGGGCUUAAAGAGUUCGUAGGCGGCGAAGUAGGUGAGGUGUGAAAGCCCUCGG